This 1158-nucleotide long non-coding RNA is filed under the name Sus scrofa (pig). RNAcentral's name for it is "lncRNA (ENSSSCG00005038358.1)". The record is from RNAcentral. Lineage: Eukaryota; Metazoa; Chordata; Mammalia; Artiodactyla; Suidae.
GGUUGUGCGCGUGCGUAGCACGCAAGGUCGGUUGGGAGUGGUAGUCGGUUCCCGCACUUUAAACGCCUUACCAACUAUAAAGGGCGAGAAAGGAAAGAUCUCUUCCCUCAGACUUCUCUUUUCCCAGGUGGGCCAGUUCUUGGCCUCGCGGGCUUACGUCAUGGGAGGAAUGCGGUGACGCGACGCUGCUCUUGUGACGUCGACGACGAAGGCCGGGCUCCCGGUUCGAUGAUGUCAUCGGGUCCUUUUUUCCUCCCCCUGCUGCCCUGCGAUGGAAAUGGCAAGGAUGGAGGAACAAGUUAAAUGACAUCAGGAAACAGCUGUCAAACCCCAAGGGUGGAGUAUGCUGGAGGACAACUGUCUCUUCGAUGAAUCAGUCAUGGCAAAAGGGAAUGGGGAGUAUUCUAGGGCAGGUGACAUCAUUGACAUUUGGGGCCAAACUGCAUUGUAGGGUGCUGAGCAGCAUCCCUGGCUGCCACUCACUACAUGCCAGGAGCACACAGCCCCCACCCCUCACCAGAUGUGACAACCAAAGAUGUUUCCAGACACAGCCAAAUGUCCUUGGAGAUAUUGCCCUAGAGGAUGGCAGAGCAACUGGCAGGAGGACCUGGGAUCCCCAGGCCAAAAGAGACAAACAUUCUCUCUUGUUUAAGCCAAUUAUUGGGUCCUCAUUAAAUUGAGAGAACUAUGACUUUGGUAAUCCUGUUCCAAGUUUUUAUAUUCACUGAAAGUUUCACACCAGAUAAGAAUGCUCAUUGAAGCAGAAAGGCGAUGUGGGUGUCCAUCCCUAGGGGACCAGAAAGAUGAAAUAAGGAAGGCUGCAGAAUACAAAACACUAAGCCAACAGUGAAAGCAACAAAGUAGCUCUUAAAAAAAAGCUGAUGGGGAGAUCCUGUCGUGGCGCAGUGGUUAACGAAUACGACUGGGAACCAUGAGGUUGCGGGUUCGGUCCCUGCCCUUGCUCAGUGGGUUAACGAUCCGGUGUUGCCGUGAGCUGUGGUGUAGGUUGCAGACGCGGCUUGGAUCUGGCUUUGCUGUGGCGCUGGCGUAGGCCAGUGGCUACAGCUCCGAUUCAACCCCUAGCCUGGGAACCUCCACAUGCUGCGGAAGCGGCCCAAGAAAUAGCAAAAAGACAAAAAAAAAAAAAAAAAAAAAAAA